Molecule: ribosomal RNA, 450 nt
Filed under: uncultured bacterium
Lineage: Bacteria
Description: bacterial SSU rRNA
Rfam family: Bacterial small subunit ribosomal RNA
Source: RNAcentral
UUCCAGACUCCUACGGGAGGCAGCAGUGGGGGAUAUUGGACAAUGGGGGGAACCCUGAUCCAGCGACGCCGCGUGAGUGAAGAAGUAUUUCGGUAUGUAAAGCUCUGUCAGCAGGGAAGAAAGCAAUGACGGUACCUGACCAAGAAGCCCCGGCUAACUACGUGCCAGCAGCCGCGGUAAUACGGGGGAUGCAAGCGUUAUCCGGAUUUAUUGGGUUUAAAGGGUGCGUAGGCUGUGAGGUAAGUCAGCGGUGAAAUGCCCCCGCUCAACGGGGUGAAGUGCCAUUGAUACUGCCUUGCUGGAAUGCGGAUGCCGUGGGAGGAAUGUGUGGUGUAGCGGUGAAAUGCAUAGAUAUCACACAGAACACCGAUUGCGAAGGCAUCUCACGAAUCCGCGAUUGACGCUGAUGCACGAAAGCGUGGGUAUCAAACAGGAUUAGAUACCCCCGUA